GAGUUUGAUCCUGGCUCAGAACGAACGCUGGCGGCGUGCUUAACACAUGCAAGUCGAGCGGCAGCGCGGGGGCAACCCUGGCGGCGAGCGGCGAACGGGUGAGUAAUGCUUCGGAAUCUUCCUAGUAGUGGGGAAGUAAACCUGGGGAAACUCAGGCUAAUACCGCAUACGAACUACGGUUGAAAGCAGGGGAUCGCAAGACCUUGCGCUAUUAGAUGAGCCGAAGUCGGAUUAGCUAGUUGGGUGGGGUAAAGGCCUACCAAGGCGACGAUCCGUAGCUGGUCUGAGAGGACGACCAGCCACACUGGGACUGAGACACGGCCCAGACUCCUACGGGAGGCAGCAGUGGGGAAUAUUGGACAAUGGGGGCGAACCCUGAUCCAGCGACGCCGCGUGUGUGAAGAAGGCCUGCGGGUUGUAAAGCACUUUUAGUGGGGAUGAAAAGACCGAAGGCUAAUACCUUUCGGUCUUGACCUAACCCAAAGAAAAAGACACCGGCUAACUCUGUGCCAGCCGCCGCCGU
Molecule: ribosomal RNA, 523 nt
Filed under: uncultured Gammaproteobacteria bacterium
Lineage: Bacteria; Pseudomonadati; Pseudomonadota; Gammaproteobacteria
Description: bacterial SSU rRNA
Rfam family: Bacterial small subunit ribosomal RNA
Source: RNAcentral